This 537-nucleotide ribosomal RNA is filed under the name Eikenella corrodens. RNAcentral describes it as "bacterial SSU rRNA". It matches the Rfam family "Bacterial small subunit ribosomal RNA", at positions 61 to 586 of the family's 1533-position model. The record is from RNAcentral. Lineage: Bacteria; Pseudomonadati; Pseudomonadota; Betaproteobacteria; Neisseriales; Neisseriaceae.
GUCGAACGGCAGCGGGGUAGUGCUUGCACUACUGUCCGGCGAGUGGCGAACGGGUGAGUAAUAUAUCGGAACGUACCGAGUAAUGGGGGAUAACCAAUCGAAAGAUUGGCUAAUACCGCAUACGUCCUGAGGGAGAAAGCGGGGGAUCGCAAGACCUCGCGUUAUUCGAGCGGCCGAUAACUGAUUAGCUAGUUGGUGGGGUAAGGGCCUACCAAGGCGACGAUCAGUAGCGGGUCUGAGAGGACGAUCCGCCACACUGGGACUGAGACACGGCCCAGACUCCUACGGGAGGCAGCAGUGGGGAAUUUUGGACAAUGGGGGCAACCCUGAUCCAGCCAUGCCGCGUGUAUGAAGAAGGCCUUCGGGUUGUAAAGUACUUUUGUUAGGGAAGAAAAGGGAAGUGCUAAUACCACUUUUUGCUGACGGUACCUAAAGAAUAAGCACCGGCUAACUACGUGCCAGCAGCCGCGGUAAUACGUAGGGUGCGAGCGUUAAUCGGAAUUACUGGGCGUAAAGCGAGCGCAGACGGUUAUUUAA